CCUUAUCACUUUUCCAGCCAGCUUUCUUGUCAUAACCGUUGGACGGAGAACUGAUAAGGGU
RNAcentral lists this microRNA precursor (61 nucleotides) under Anolis carolinensis (green anole). RNAcentral's name for it is "Aca-Mir-184_pre stem-loop". It matches the Rfam family "mir-184 microRNA precursor family", at positions 13 to 74 of the family's 86-position model. The record is from RNAcentral. Lineage: Eukaryota; Metazoa; Chordata; Lepidosauria; Squamata; Anolidae.